This 430-nucleotide ribosomal RNA is filed under the name Pseudomonadota bacterium. RNAcentral describes it as "Proteobacteria bacterium partial 16S ribosomal RNA". It matches the Rfam family "Bacterial small subunit ribosomal RNA", at positions 355 to 776 of the family's 1533-position model. Lineage: Bacteria; Pseudomonadati; Pseudomonadota. The record is from RNAcentral.
UGGGGAAUAUUGGACAAUGGGGGGAACCCUGAUCCAGCCAUGCCGCGUGUGUGAAGAAGGCCUUAUGGUUGUAAAGCACUUUAAGCGAGGAGGAGGGUACUGGUAUUAAUACUACCAGGUACUGGACGUUACUCGCAGAAUAAGCACCGGCUAACUCUGUGCCAGCAGCCGCGGUAAUACAGAGGGUGCAAGCGUUAAUCGGAAUUACUGGGCGUAAAGCGCGCGUAGGUGGUUCGUUAAGUUGAAUGUGAAAGCCCCGGGCUCAACCUGGGAAAUGCAUCCAAAACUGGCGAGCUAGAGUAGGGCAGAGGGUGGUGGAAUUUCCUGUGUAGCGGUGAAAUGCGUAGAUAUAGGAAGGAACACCAGUGGCGAAGGCGACCACCUGGGCUCAUACUGACACUGAGGUGCGAAAGCGUGGGGAGCAAACAGG